RNAcentral lists this transfer RNA (61 nucleotides) under Alectorobius peropteryx. RNAcentral's name for it is "tRNA-Tyr". Lineage: Eukaryota; Metazoa; Arthropoda; Arachnida; Ixodida; Argasidae. The record is from RNAcentral.
GGUAAAAUGGUCGAAUAUAGGCGGUAAAUUGUAAAUUUACUUAUGAAGUUAUCUUUUACUA